GAACAUUCUUGUACAAUUGUUGAAAACAUUUCGAAAUUUUCAAAAGUUUUUCAAGUACUUUUAAAAAAUUCUCAAAGUUCUUUUUUGGUUUCUAUUCUUAUGAAACAAAUAGUCAAUAGCCGUGUGUUGCUUAAAAUCUGAGAAAAGGGGGAUAAAAAGUUUAUUGAAAAUAUUUUGAUUUGAGUUUAAAGGAGGAUUCCCUGAAAUUGUUUCAGGAACGUGGUAAAAGGCUAAAGAUUGUAAUGCGCUUAGCCUUGGCUACUUUCAUAUGCAUGUAGCAUAUUAAAAUAGCCAGAGUCAGUUGCCCCGGCACGUAAUCGGCAUCGGAAUCGGAGUUUGGAGCUGGAGUCGGGACCCAGGAUCCGGUAGCGAGUAGCUCAGGACCCUUAACUCAAAAUCAUUGCCAUAGAUCCCUGCCCAGUGGGUGGGCCGAUGGACGAUUGUGGGCCGUGCUGGGGAGGAAGAAGGCGGUUGUGGCUGAGAUAUUUACAGACUGUUUGUGCCGGAGAGGGCUACGUGACGGAGGACCAAAUUAAAUGUACUUGCUGAUCAUUCUAUUUCAUCAUACCAUAUUUCCCUUGCUUUAAAUAUACAUUUAUUCUAGUUUUCCAUAUAAAUCGAAUUUGUUUAUUCUGUCGCAAUUUACUAUAAUUUAAGAAACAAUUUGGAGCCCUUGCAAAUGAUGUCAGCACACAUUCCCUACUUAUGAUGCGGUUUAUUGACUUUCAUGAGAAGUUUCCUAUAGAGGUUACAGCUUGUUGAGUACGGGCUGCGCUGAGGUAGAGGGUCUUAAAGCUGGCCACAAUUGGAACUGUCGUAAUAGCUGAAAGUGCUACCAAUAAUGAAAAGCAAUACAAAAGCUGCCAAGGAUUAUUUACAAGCGAGGAGCUUAAAGCGAAAACCAAUUCAAAAAGAAACCAAACAAACAAACAAACAACAACCAAACAACGAACAACAAACGAACUGCCCCUCCCAGCCCACACUCUAGACCACCCCAAGUGGUGGUCGCUGUGGCAAGGGAAGGGCUGCGGCUGAGGAAUGAGGAAUGAGGGAUGAGGGCUCCAAGUAAUACGCGUGUAUAAAAGAAUCAAAAAUCUA
Molecule: long non-coding RNA, 1098 nt
Organism: Drosophila virilis
Lineage: Eukaryota; Metazoa; Arthropoda; Insecta; Diptera; Drosophilidae
Source: RefSeq, a predicted model, not a curated record